UACAGAGAUGGCGAGCGUUACUCGGAUUUAUUGGGUGUAAAGGGCAGGUAGGUGGCUAUGCAAGUUGAUGGUGAAAUCCUGUGGCUUAACCACAGAACUGCCUUCAAAACUGCAUAGCUUGAGGCUAGAAGAGGAGAGCGGAAUUCCCGGUGUAAGGGUGAAAUCUGUAGAUAUCGGGAGGAACACCAGUGGCGAAAGCGGCUCUCUGGUCUAGCCCUGACGCUGAUCUGCGAAAGCUAGGGGAG
RNAcentral lists this ribosomal RNA (245 nucleotides) under uncultured bacterium. RNAcentral describes it as "partial 16S ribosomal RNA". It matches the Rfam family "Bacterial small subunit ribosomal RNA", at positions 524 to 768 of the family's 1533-position model. The record is from RNAcentral.